CUUCUAGAUUGGAUUAACUGAGGCAGUAAGACCCCGCUCCUAACUGUGAGUAACACCAACUCAUGUGCUGGUCCUAAACAGAAUAAAAAGGGGAGACAAGAUGAGUACCGGCCUCCAUCACUCUGCUUCCCGACUCUGGGUGUAACGUGACCCUCCCUCCUGCUGCCCUGCCUUCUUCACAGAGCUAAAAUGCUUUUGAAAAAGCCAAGGAAACCAGGGGAGAGACCACAGUGCCUUCAACAGUCAGCCAGAGCCAGAGAGAAACAGAACCCCCUGACGGAAACCACAGCAUCAGAGCAGGCCUCACCAGCACUCGGCCUCAGCAGAUGUCCUGGAACAUGCUGUGCGUUUGUCCCAUUGGGUCCCAUGACACUGGAUAAAGCUCUGGACCCUACAAAUCCAAUGUCAAGACACCAUCAGGUUCCAUAUCUGGUGAGGGCUUCUCUGCUUCCUUUGUGCCUUGCUGCUGGAAUGUCCAGAAGAGACAUACCAUGUCUUCCUACAGUGAAAGGGACAGGCUGUACAUGCUGUGGGCAGAAUUCAACCAGCUGCCAGAGCCUUCACGCGGUGAGGAGGGGCUCUGAGAUGAAGUGGCCCCCUUGCCUCAGUUACCUGCUUCUCCAGUGGUGUAGCCAGGAUCCAGAGUGGAGCCUCAGUGUGGAUAGGCAGCUCCGGGUUCCCUCAGCACAGGCCCCUGCUUCUCCUGCUCCCCACCUUCUGCUCCUGCUCUUGUCCACGGUUGAUGGCUUCUGCUCUGUGCCUUUGGAGAAGCAGUACACACCCUGAGGACUGAGGACCAGCUAGAAAAAAAGCAGUUGCUGCACCCGCUGCCUCCUGUUA
This is a non-coding RNA of Peromyscus maniculatus bairdii (prairie deer mouse), 840 nucleotides long. The record is from RefSeq and is a predicted model, not a curated record. NCBI's taxonomy places the organism in Eukaryota, Metazoa, Chordata, Mammalia, Rodentia, Cricetidae.